This is a long non-coding RNA of Gallus gallus (chicken), 509 nucleotides long. RefSeq lists it as uncharacterized. Lineage: Eukaryota; Metazoa; Chordata; Aves; Galliformes; Phasianidae. The transcript has 4 exons. The record is from RefSeq and is a predicted model, not a curated record.
AGGCGGCGCGCGGGGAGAGCGGCAGUUAGCGCCGGGGUCUGCCGCCGUCCUGCUUUGGGGGCGUUGAGGGCCGGGCCGGAUGGGGCCCCGGGCUGCCUGACCCGGGGGUGGCAGCCCUGCCCGCGGCAGGGGGUUAGAUCUGGACAGAAGCAGCAUCACUUUCUCCUUUGAACUGCGGAAGGGCAAUCGAAUGAGGAGGCUGAACGCUACCUCCGGGAAGCGACACAACGCAUAUUCCCGGUGCGCUUCAGACAUGCCUCUUUCCACGGCAGUGCUGAUCAAAGUCUGAGCUUUCCGAGAAAACCACUCUAUAUUUGGGAAGAGAGGAGAUACCGAACAGAUUGCUGUGUCAGGAGACUGUCCCUUAUGUCCCACCCCGCGGACCCCGGUGUGCCAUCACUCCCAGGCAGUCCUGAACGGAGCCAUGAAAAUUGCUUUGAAAUCACAGCAGACAAAGAGGAAACUUUUGGACAUCGUUUAUUUUGGGAUGUUCCAAACCAAAGCUAUCU